AAGUACAAAAUUCCAUAUUUGUAAUGAAUUUUCUGUUGCGUAGCUGCCAUGUCACAAAGCUUGAAGAGCAGUUACUUUCCUGAAGCACAAGUAGCAUAGAACUGUUGAAGUUUGCUAAACAAUGUGAAAAGAAGAGGAGGUGAUCAUGGCGCAUGGUCCAGUUGAAGAAACAUGAGAUUCAAACUAGACAACACAUCAGCCACUAAAUUCUGGUUUCCAGCAGGCAUAGUCUUUGCAGGAAUUGCAGCAUCAAGCUCAUGAAGAAACAAAAGCAGAUUAUACCAAAUCAUACUUUGCAAGAAAAUAAUCUGAGGUAAAAGAAAAUCAGAUUCAUCUUUAUACAUAGCCUUCAUGAGUGGAAUUCCAAGGAUCAAAGUAUUAGGAAGUGUUGAUAAUGAAAGUCCAGUUAUAAUCCAUUUCAAACCACCUCUAAUAUCACCAAUCUUAAUGAUUGCAAUUAAAACUAAGAAUGCAAGAAAUUUUUGAACAAAAUCUGCAUAUAUGAGUUUAAGACUCAUUUUGUAAAUAUUAUUAGAAGAUAUAACUUGAAAUGAUAACAAUGGAACUGAAAAAUUUGCUACAAAUUUGUUUAUUCCUGCACAUUGAUCUGGAGUGAAAAGUUUCCACCAUUUAACACAAAUGUAAGCUAGUAACAUAGUUACAUAUAAUGGGACAGUUGCUGUCACUACAUGAUAAACAUCAAUUAAGGAAAUCAUGAUGAUGAUAAUGAUAAUGAUAAUGAUAAUGAUGAUGAUGAUGUUGUUUA
Lathyrus oleraceus (garden pea) is the source of this 766-nucleotide long non-coding RNA. RefSeq lists it as uncharacterized. The record is from RefSeq and is a predicted model, not a curated record. NCBI's taxonomy places the organism in Eukaryota, Viridiplantae, Streptophyta, Magnoliopsida, Fabales, Fabaceae. The transcript is spliced from 2 exons.